RNAcentral lists this ribosomal RNA (1360 nucleotides) under uncultured bacterium. RNAcentral describes it as "bacterial SSU rRNA". It matches the Rfam family "Bacterial small subunit ribosomal RNA", at positions 28 to 1381 of the family's 1533-position model. The record is from RNAcentral.
GAUGAACGCUAGCUACAGGCUUAACACAUGCAAGUCGAGGGGCAGCAUUUUAGUUUUGCUUGCAAACUGAAGAUGGCGACCGGCGCACGGGUGAGUAACACGUAUCCAACCUGCCGAUAACUCCGGGAUAGCCUUUCGAAAGAAAGAUUAAUACCGGAUAGUAUACGAAUAUCGCAUGAUAUUUUUAUUAAAGAAUUUCGGUUAUCGAUGGGGAUGCGUUCCAUUAGUUUGUUGGCGGGGUAACGGCCCACCAAGACUACGAUGGAUAGGGGUUCUGAGAGGAAGGUCCCCCACAUUGGAACUGAGACACGGUCCAAACUCCUACGGGAGGCAGCAGUGAGGAAUAUUGGUCAAUGGGCGCGAGCCUGAACCAGCCAAGUAGCGUGAAGGAUGAAGGCUCUAUGGGUCGUAAACUUCUUUUAUAUGGGAAUAAAGUUUUCCACGUGUGGAAUUUUGUAUGUACCAUAUGAAUAAGGAUCGGCUAACUCCGUGCCAGCAGCCGCGGUAAUACGGAGGAUCCGAGCGUUAUCCGGAUUUAUUGGGUUUAAAGGGAGCGUAGGUGGAUUGUUAAGUCAGUUGUGAAAGUUUGCGGCUCAACCGUAAAAUUGCAGUUGAAACUGGCAGUCUUGAGUACAGUAGAGGUGGGCGGAAUUCGUGGUGUAGCGGUGAAAUGCUUAGAUAUCACGAAGAACUCCGAUUGCGAAGGCAGCUCACUAGACUGUCACUGACACUGAUGCUCGAAAGUGUGGGUAUCAAACAGGAUUAGAUACCCUGGUAGUCCACACAGUAAACGAUGAAUACUCGCUGUUUGCGAUAUACAGUAAGCGGCCAAGCGAAAGCAUUAAGUAUUCCACCUGGGGAGUACGCCGGCAACGGUGAAACUCAAAGGAAUUGACGGGGGCCCGCACAAGCGGAGGAACAUGUGGUUUAAUUCGAUGAUACGCGAGGAACCUUACCCGGGCUUAAAUUGCAACAGAAUAUAUUGGAAACAGUAUAGCCGUAAGGCUGUUGUGAAGGUGCUGCAUGGUUGUCGUCAGCUCGUGCCGUGAGGUGUCGGCUUAAGUGCCAUAACGAGCGCAACCCUUAUCUUUAGUUACUAACAGGUUAUGCUGAGGACUCUAGAGAGACUGCCGUCGUAAGAUGUGAGGAAGGUGGGGAUGACGUCAAAUCAGCACGGCCCUUACGUCCGGGGCUACACACGUGUUACAAUGGGGGGUACAGAAGGCGGCUACCUGGUGACAGGAUGCUAAUCCCAAAAACCUCUCUCAGUUCGGAUCGAAGUCUGCAACCCGACUUCGUGAAGCUGGAUUCGCUAGUAAUCGCGCAUCAGCCAUGGCGCGGUGAAUACGUUCCCGGGCCU